AAAUCUACAAGAUUCCCAUUGAUGUUUCUUUUGCAUCAUUCUAAGUGACAAAGGAAGUCCAAAACUUUUGGCUUUUUGUUCUAUAUGUGCCCAUAAAACUACCUCCCUUUCUGGCCAAUAGGGUGCUUCUGGUUCUGCCUCAAUACCAAACAAACUUGGCUCAAGAGACUCAAAUUUUGAUGGAAAAAUUGAAUCUUUACUCCCAA
RNAcentral lists this unclassified non-coding RNA (206 nucleotides) under Hevea brasiliensis (rubber tree). Lineage: Eukaryota; Viridiplantae; Streptophyta; Magnoliopsida; Malpighiales; Euphorbiaceae. The record is from RNAcentral.